Molecule: transfer RNA, 85 nt
Filed under: Felis catus (domestic cat)
Lineage: Eukaryota; Metazoa; Chordata; Mammalia; Carnivora; Felidae
Also listed under: 1 other name
Rfam family: tRNA
About the family: Transfer RNA (tRNA) molecules are approximately 80 nucleotides in length. Their secondary structure includes four short double-helical elements and three loops (D, anti-codon, and T loops).
Source: Rfam by way of RNAcentral
GCCUGAGUGGCUCAGUAGGUUGAGCGUCUGGCUUCGGCUCAGGUAGUGAUCUCACGGUUUGUGAGUUCAAGUCCCGCAUCAGGCU